GGUAAGGUGCCUGAUAAAAGGGAACCAUUGAUGAUGGUUAUUAUGAAGGUACUUAUUCCUUCUCUUACUA
This 70-nucleotide transfer RNA is filed under the name Hydroides elegans (calcareous tube worm). Its description in RNAcentral is "tRNA-Ile". The record is from RNAcentral. Lineage: Eukaryota; Metazoa; Annelida; Polychaeta; Sabellida; Serpulidae.